AUUGAACGCUGGCGGAAUGCUUUACACAUGCAAGUCGAACGGUAGAGGGGGCAACCCCUCGAGAGUGGCGAACGGGUGAGUAAUAUAUCGGAACGUGCCCAGUCGUGGGGGAUAACGUAGCGAAAGUUACGCUAAUACCGCAUACGAUCUAAGGAUAAAAGCGGGGGAUCGCAAGACCCCGCGCGAUUGGAGCGGCCGAUAUCAGAUUAGGUAGUUGGUGGGUAAAGGCCCACCAAGCCAACGAUCUGUAGCUGGUCUGAGAGGACGACCAGCCACACUGGAACUGAGACACGGUCCAGACUCCUACGGGAGGCAGCAGUGGGGAAUUUUGGACAAUGGGCGAAAGCCUGAUCCAGCCAUUCCGCGUGCAGGAUGAAGGCCCUCGGGUUGUAAACUGCUUUUGUACAGAACGAAAAGGUUUCUACUAAUACUAGGAGCUCAUGACGGUACUGUAAGAAUAAGCACCGGCUAACUACGUGCCAGCCGCCGCCGUAA
This 495-nucleotide ribosomal RNA is filed under the name uncultured bacterium. RNAcentral's name for it is "partial 16S ribosomal RNA". It matches the Rfam family "Bacterial small subunit ribosomal RNA", at positions 30 to 523 of the family's 1533-position model. The record is from RNAcentral.